Molecule: ribosomal RNA, 944 nt
Filed under: uncultured organism
Description: bacterial SSU rRNA
Rfam family: Bacterial small subunit ribosomal RNA
Source: RNAcentral
UUGACGGUACCCUACUAGAAAGGAGCCGCUAACUUCGUGCCAGAAGCGUCGGUAAUACGGGGGCUCCAAGCGUUAUCCGGUGUUAUUGGGCGUAAAGAGUCGUGUAGGUGGUUGGGUAAGUUAUCUUUCAAAUAUCUUUGCUUAACAAAGAGGAGGGGGAUAAUACUGCUCGACUAGAAUUUUCUCAAGGGAGAUCGGAACUGAGGGAGGAGUAGUGAAAUGCGUUGAUACCCUCGGGAACACCAGUGGCGUAGGCGGAUCUCUGGGAGAAGAUUGACACUGAGACACGAAAGCUAGGGGAGCGAAGCAGAUUAGAGACCUGCGUAGUCCUAGCCGUAAACGCAUGCUUGCUAGCUGCAUGAAUCUACCUUCGGGUGGUAUCGUGUGGCGAAGGUAACCCGUUAAGCAAGCCGCCUGGAAAGUACGGCCGCAAGGCUGAAAUUCAAAGGAAUUGGCGGGGAGGCACACAACCAGUGGAACAUGUGGUUUAAUUCGAGACUAACCGAAGAACCUCACCAGGGUUUGACAUGUAGCUGCACGUCUUAAGAAAUUAAGACUCUCUUGAAGGUGCUACACAGGUGCUGCAUGGCUGUCGUCAGCUCGUUCCGUGAGGAGUGCCCUUAAGUGGGACAACGAGCGCAACCCCUAUUACAUGUUAGAAAUGUCAUGUAAGACUGCCUUGCCAUUUGGCGGGGAGGAAGGAGGGGCAGACGUCAAGUCCGCAUGGUCCUUAUGCCCUGGGCUACACACAUGUUACAAUGAGUACGGCAAUGAGUCUGUCGCGAGCACGUAAGUGUAAGCUAAUCUCUUAAAUGUACUCUCAGUGGGGAUUGAGGUCUGCAACUCGACCUCAUGAACACGGAAUUGGUAGUAAUCGCGGGUCAGCUAUACCGCGGUGAUACGUUCUUGCCUCUUGCACACACCGCCCGUCAAACCAGCAAAGU